AGAGUUUGAUCCUGGCUCAGGACGAACGCUAGCGGCGCGCCUAACACAUGCAAGUCGAACGGAGUUAAGAGGAGCUUGCUUUUCUUGACUUAGUGGCGAACGGGUGAGUAACGCGUGAGUAACCUGCCUCAGAGUGGGGGACAACAGUUGGAAACGACUGCUAAUACCGCAUAAGACCACGGGGUCGCAUGGCCCUGAGGUAAAAGGAUUUAUUCGCUUUGAGAUGGACUCGCGUCCAAUUAGCUGGUUGGUGAGGUAACGGCCCACCAAGGCGACGAUUGGUAGCCGGACUGAGAGGUUGAACGGCCACAUUGGGACUGAGACACGGCCCAGACUCCUACGGGAGGCAGCAGUGGGGGAUAUUGCACAAUGGGGGAAACCCUGAUGCAGCGACGCCGCGUGGAGGAAGAAGGUUUUCGGAUUGUAAACUCCUGUCGUAAGGGACGAUAAUGACGGUACCUUACAAGAAAGCCACGGCUAACUACGUGCCAGCAGCCGCGGUAAAACGUAGGUGGCAAGCGUUGUCCGGAAUUACUGGGUGUAAAGGGAGCGCAGGCGGACCGGCAAGUUGGAAGUGAAAACUAUGGGCUCAACCCAUAAACUGCUUUCAAAACUGCUGGCCUUGAGUAGUGCAGAGGUAGGCGGAAUUCCCGGUGUAGCGGUGGAAUGCGUAGAUAUCGGGAGGAACACCAGUGGCGAAGGCGGCCUACUGGGCACCAACUGACGCUGAGGCUCGAAAGUGUGGGUAGCAAACAGGAUUAGAUACCCUGGUAGUCCACACCGUAAACGAUGAUUACUAGGUGUUGGAGGAUUGACCCCUUCAGUGCCGCAGUU
Molecule: ribosomal RNA, 834 nt
Filed under: uncultured bacterium
Lineage: Bacteria
Description: bacterial SSU rRNA
Rfam family: Bacterial small subunit ribosomal RNA
Source: RNAcentral